UCAGGGGGAGGGGGGUCCCUCAACCUGGAUUGUAAGAGGGCACAGGCCAGGCCAAGGGACCCCACUGGUGCACA
Molecule: microRNA precursor, 74 nt
Filed under: Myotis brandtii (Brandt's bat)
Lineage: Eukaryota; Metazoa; Chordata; Mammalia; Chiroptera; Vespertilionidae
Description: mir-9193 microRNA precursor family
Rfam family: mir-9193 microRNA precursor family
Source: Rfam by way of RNAcentral